UUGAGAGUUUGAUCCUGGCUCAGAACGAACGCUGGCGGCAUGCCUAACACAUGCAAGUCGAGCGCACCUUCGGGUGAGCGGCGGACGGGUUAGUAACGCGUGGGAAUAUGCCCUUCUCUACGGAAUAGCCAUUGGAAACGAUGAGUAAUACCGUAUACGCCCUUUGGGGGAAAGAUUUAUCGGAGAAGGAUUAGCCCGCGUUAGAUUAGAUAGUUGGUGGGGUAAUGGCCUACCAAGUCUACGAUCUAUAGCUGGUUUUAGAGGAUGAUCAGCAACAUUGGGACUGAGACACGGCCCAGACUCCUACGGGAGGCAGCAGUGGGGAAUCUUAGACAAUGGGCGCAAGCCUGAUCUAGCCAUGCCGCGUGUGUGAUGAAGGUCUUAGGAUCGUAAAGCACUUUCGCCAGGGAUGAUAAUGACAGUACCUGGUAAAGAAACCCCGGCUAACUCCGUGCCAGCAGCCGCGGUAAUACGGAGGGGGCAAGCGUUAUUCAGUUUAAUUUGGUGUAAAGGGUUCGUAGGUUGUAUUUAGGUUGUUUAAAUUAAAAUCAAGAGACUUAACCUCUUUAAUAUUUUUAAAAACACUUUUACUAGAGUAUAAAAAAAGAUUAUAGAAUUUUAAGGGUAGAGAUAAAAUUCUAAGAUCCUUAAAGGAACACCAAAAGCGAAAGCAAUAGUCUUGUUUAUUACUGACACUGAGGAACGAAAGGAUAGGGAGCAAACAGGAUUAGUGACCCUGGUAGUCUAUCCCGUAAACUAUGAGUGCUGAUAUUUAGAAUUUAAAAUUUUGGGUAUUAAGUUAACACGUUAAGCACUCCACCUGAGGAGUAUAGUCGCAAGGCUGGAACUCAAAGGAAUUGACGGGGGCC
Molecule: ribosomal RNA, 869 nt
Filed under: Pteridomonas danica
Lineage: Eukaryota; Dictyochophyceae; Pedinellales
Description: partial Bacterial small subunit ribosomal RNA
Rfam family: Bacterial small subunit ribosomal RNA
Source: RNAcentral